RNAcentral lists this ribosomal RNA (418 nucleotides) under uncultured bacterium. RNAcentral's name for it is "bacterial SSU rRNA". It matches the Rfam family "Bacterial small subunit ribosomal RNA", at positions 362 to 773 of the family's 1533-position model. The record is from RNAcentral.
UUUUGCACAAUGGGCGAAAGCCUGAUGCAGCAACGCCGCGUGUGUGAUGAAGGUCUUCGGAUCGUAAAGCACUUUCGACCGGGAAGAACACCCCUUGGCCAACAUCCAGGGGCCUGACGGUACCGGGAGAAGAAGCACCGGCUAACUCCGUGCCAGCAGCCGCGGUAAUACGAAGGGGGCUAGCGUUGUUCGGAUUUACUGGGCGUAAAGCGCACGUAGGCGGGUUGUUAAGUCAGGGGUGAAAUCCUGGAGCUCAACUCCAGAACUGCCUUUGAUACUGGCAACCUAGAGGCUGGAAGAGGUUAGUGGAAUUCCCAGUGUAGAGGUGAAAUUCGUAGAUAUUGGGAAGAACACCAGUGGCGAAGGCGGCUAACUGGUCCAGAUCUGACGCUGAGGUGCGAAAGCGUGGGGAGCAAAC